CCGGAUGCCAAUCCAAAUAAUGAGAACAGUCUUGAGUGGAGAGGAAAGGUUUUUACUAUGCCAGGCACAGGGAGCAAAGCAAGGGCUCAUGCCUCAAAAAUUGCUAGCUCCCCAAUGAGGAAUGGGUAGGGAUUUUUAUUUGAGGCUUGGGUAGGGGAGGGGGAAACAUGUAGCUUCGGCAGGUCGGUGCUUUUACACUAGCCUGCAUUUGUCCUUGAGAGGCUGCUUGCAGCAAGGCAGCAGGGAUGGUGAGAUAGGAGGAUGGCAGGUGGACAUCCUUCGCCGUUGUCUUGUUUUCUUGUUUGAGGUGGAUUCGAGUGCCAGGAGUCCAGAAGUUGAGGUCUGGGAAGCCUCCGCUUCUUGAUGUUCUUGAGACAGUGGCUUUCCUGGCAAACUUCAAGGAGAGAUGAUUAGCUAAACUUUAGUGUGCCUCCAACUCCAGGCUGCCUGGGCUUUUAACAAUUUGUAACUCCCAUUUAGUUGUAAAGCUCAAGGAGUCAAAGUUUAAAGAAACAGGUGUUUACAUGUGAGUGGAGCUAGAGAAGCAGGGUGGUGGGUUUUAGUUUUAACCCCAUAUACGCUGGGUUCAAUGUGGGGAACUGAUAUCAGGGCUGAUGUUAAGAGCCUGUAACAAAAUGAUCUUAGGAUACAUACCCAGGAAACAUGUGCUGCUAGGACUCCAACAGAAAACCUGGCAAUAUUGGAGGUACAUAAGAAGAGAUGGAGAGGGGAAAAUGGGUGGGACACUAUGUUAGUAGGGAUUAUACUCCUACUCAAAAUUAUCAAAAUCAGUGAAGUGAUGGGGAAAAUUUGUGAGGACAUUGUGAGACAUGGAAACUUUCCACCUCAUAGCUUUUGCAAUCAGACUUUAAAGAGCACAAUACACACAGCUAUAAAUAAAACAGAGAAAAAAAUUAUUGGAACCAAGGCAAAAGAAAUCAGAGAGUGAGAGAUAUAAGAACAUGGAACAAACAGUGUUGGUCUAUUCUGAGUGGGAAGGCCAGUGGCCAAUUGAAGACAUAGGCAGAAGCCUUCCAGCCAAGCUCUCCUCCUAAGUCAGACACCUAACAAAGGGAAUGGUUCUGAGGCUCUGAGGUGUCCCUGGAGCACAUAGCUGCCCUGUGUCAAUACGGUGGGUGUUUUCACUCAGCUAACUUGGAAAUCAUGAGAGCACCAUUGUUUCUUCAUUUUUACAGUACAAUGAAAAUAUAUCUGAUAAAUUACUGGGAAAGAAAAUGGACAGAUAUGGAAAUAUGUGACAAAAAAGAAGUUCUUUGGCUGAUUAAAUGUCCUUGAAAAUAAGCACCUGUACAGAGAGAUGGGGAAAGUUUUUUUUCUUUUCAAGUUGUUAAAAAUUGGGGAGGUGCUGUCACUCUUUUUUGCUUUCUUGGAGAAACAAUUGAGUCAAAGAAUAAAUAAUAUAUCAAAGAUCAGCUUCUCAUGAAGCUGUUAGGAAAACAGAACAAUGUUAAUGAAUAUUUCAUUUGCUUUUCUUCCAGUGAGGUUAUUGAACCUUUACAAGGAAAGAGCUCUUAGUAAAAUGGAAAAAAGAGCCUGCCUCAAGGAAGAAGCAGGUGAUCGGUGUUUUAUGCUGAUAUGAUCUUCUCCUUAAAGGAAUAGGCAAUCUGCCUGGGGGUCUCUUAGGAAAUCAAAAACAUGAAGAAGUUUCACUGAAUGGUCACCCAAAGGAAAGUGGAUUAGUAGUUACUCUGUGAGAUUGUCAAGGUUGGUUGGUCUUUGGAGCCUAAUUCUUAUUUUAUUUUAUUCGUAAAAGAAGUCAUAUGACCUUCACGUCCUAACUGGUUUUGUUGAAUAUGUAAGAGAAUGGGGAAAAUAAAACCAAACCAAACAAAACCUGCUCCUGUUGAAGUGACAAAAAUAUAUAGACAAUGGAUUUUCAAUAAACAUUAAAAAAAAUUCAGUGGAAAAGAAUAGUCUUUUCAACAAAACUUGCUGGAAAUAUUGGAUAUCCAUGUGCAGAAAAGGAUAAAAAAAAGAGCUGCAACCCAUACUUUGCCCCACAUAGUAAACUCAAAGUGAUUGAUAUGUAAAGUGAAAAGCUACAAAUUCCAGAAGAAGAAAUAGGAGAAAGAUCUGUGACCUUGUAGGUUAAGCCAAUAUUUCUUAGACAAGCCUCCAAAGCAUGAUUCUUCUUUCAAACAAUAAAUAUAUAACUUGGAUCUUCAGCAAAAUGAAGAUGUUUGGGUCUUUGAGGGACACUUUUGAGGGAAUGAAAAGAGAAUCCAUGUAUUGGGAGAAAAUAUUUGCAACUCUUCUCUCUGAAAUAUCGCUUGUAGCCAAAAUAUAUAAAGAAAUCUCCAAACUCAAAAAUAGCAUAUGAAACAGCCUACUCAAAACACAUGGAUCACAGAGACACUUAGCAAAGAAAAUAUUUACGUGGCAAAUAAUUGAAUAUUAUUCAGAGAUUGAUUUCCAGUGGUUUCUCUAAGCUAGGCCACCCACUGUAUGGACAGCUCAGGAAGAUGAUCUGCAAAAACACAGAUGUCAAUAUUAGGAGCUAUACACAAGGCAGAAGACUCAAAAAUUUUAGUGACAUUAAGUUGUUCACUCACAGCAAAAUGAAAUUGUAGACAUGGAUUUGGGAGGGAUUCUUAAAUAAUGUAUUCUUAUCAAUAGACAAGAAGUAGCUCUUGUUGAAAAGAUUUCAUUAAUCUUAAAUAUAGACUCUUCAGGAACAUUUUGAUAACUGAUUCAUGACCUAGAUGCCAUAUUUAUUAUUGUUAAACCAGACGGUAACAACUUAGUUUAGAAAGUCAAUUUAAACAUACCUCCUCCAUGUUAAAGAAAUGAUGUGGGAGUUGGGGAUACAGGUCUUGGACAGCUUAUCACAUUUUGGGACUCAGGAUCUAAGAGGAUAAAUAUUGCUGUCCUUCAAAUACUUCAUGUGUAUUGUGAUCUCUUCCUUAAUGUAAACACCAAACAUCCAAAUCAACAUAAUGCUUCUCUUAAAGUUAAUCUCAUUAUCAAAAGAACAGAGUGCCAUAAAAGCUCACCACUGCCUACCAGGAUAUUAUAAGAAAGUGUACACGAAACUAAGGUCUUAAGAUUAACAUCUGUUGGUUCAUUAUGCAUCAUGUAAACAGACCAAUACUAUAAAAAGUGGUGAAAAUUCUGAUUCUCUCCAACAACCAGCACAUACUCAGCUUCUCCAGAAGAAGGUCAACAAGCACCAACGAGAUGAAGAUACUGCUCCUGACUCUUGCACUUGGUGUGGUUUGUGCUGAGCAGGAAUCUCAGCCUGAGACCAAUUACUCACUGGUAACAAGGGUUGGCUGAUCUGAGAGUAUGACUUGGUGGUGUGUCUGUGUGUCCCUUUGGGGGUUGUUCUGUGUAUAGCCAAAUUUAUGUGCACCUAAGCCUAGCCGUCUACCUCCAAACUCAGAAUCACUCUUUUAAGUGGCUCCUUACACAUUUCUACUGUACUUGUCUUAAAUUGUCUCAGUAUUGUCUAUUAAUUUGCUCUUUAGGCAGUUCUAUUGUACCUGUCUAAGAUGGAGAAACAGACCAAAGAACUGUUGAACUGGAGUUUUACUUUGAUAAUAAAACUUAAGCUAUUUCAGAAAUAUCUCCAUUUCUUCUUUUACCAUUGACUUCAGUUUUCACACUAUUUUAUAAAACUUGCUUUUGUUUAAUAAACAUAGUGAGUUUGGUGUUGAUGUAAAAGGGACAGAAAAUUCAUGAUGGAUGAUGUCAAAAACGUUGAAAAGAGCAUGACUAAAAAUUCUCAUAGGAACUUUGCUUUUCGUUAUCAGGAGAACGGAAAACGCUUUACAGUGCAUCCAGUAACAUAGAGAAGAUUAGUGAGAAUGGACCAUUUAGACUUGAUUUAGACAGUGCAGCUGACACAAUCAACUUCGUGAUUUUUGUCGAGAUCAAUGGACAAUCAACAAAGAAUAUCUACCACAGGAAAAAAGCAGAUGGAGAUGCUUACAUUAAUGAUUGUAAGUAUGACAGUUUUUCUGAUAAAAUUAUGUCAGGGUUGAAAUCUUGCUCUCAACAUUUUUUCAGAGCUCCAUAUAUCAGAAUUCUCAUUCUGCUAAUAAUUAGAAGUGAGACCAGAUACAAGUCCCUAAGUUUUCUAAGUACUUUAAUUUGUCAUGUGCAAAGGAUUCAAUCAUAGGAUGUUGAUGACUCUUUGAAUUUUGAGUCAAUGACAAACUGGGACCACGUGCUCAGAACAUUCAUUUCAUAGUUUUCUCAGAUGUAUGAAAAUGUUUCAAGAUAAAUUAAAAUGAUCUUAGGAACUGAUGUCUAAUGAGUCUUUCUUGAGAUUAAAUGUCGAUUUC
This is a long non-coding RNA of Equus asinus (donkey), 4307 nucleotides long. The record is from Ensembl. NCBI's taxonomy places the organism in Eukaryota, Metazoa, Chordata, Mammalia, Perissodactyla, Equidae.